CUAUGGCCAUUCCAUCCUGAGCACAUGCUGAUCAUGUCUGAUCUCAGAAGCUAAGCAGGGUCGAGCCUGAUUAGUACUUGGAUAGGAGACUACUACCUGCCCAGGAUUUGGAGCUCUAAAGG
This 122-nucleotide ribosomal RNA is filed under the name Vulpes vulpes (red fox). Lineage: Eukaryota; Metazoa; Chordata; Mammalia; Carnivora; Canidae. The record is from RNAcentral.